RNAcentral lists this ribosomal RNA (496 nucleotides) under uncultured bacterium. RNAcentral's name for it is "partial 16S ribosomal RNA". It matches the Rfam family "Bacterial small subunit ribosomal RNA", at positions 28 to 506 of the family's 1533-position model. The record is from RNAcentral.
GAUGAACGCUGGCGGCGUGCCUAAUACAUGCAAGUCGAGCGAACAGACGAGGAGCUUGCUCCUCUGACGUUAGCGGCGGACGGGUGAGUAACACGUGGAUAACCUACCUAUAAGACUGGGAUAACUUCGGGAAACCGGAGCUAAUACCGGAUAAUAUAUUGAACCGCAUGGUUCAAUAGUGAAAGACGGUUUUGCUGUCACUUAUAGAUGGAUCCGCGCCGCAUUAGCUAGUUGGUAAGGUAACGGCUUACCAAGGCAACGAUGCGUAGCCGACCUGAGAGGGUGAUCGGCCACACUGGAACUGAGACCCGGUCCAGACUCCGACGGGAGGCAGCAGUAGGGAAUCUUCCGCAAUGGGCGAAAGCCUGACGGAGCAACGCCGCGUGAGUGAUGAAGGUCUUCGGAUCGUAAAACUCUGUUAUUAGGGAAGAACAAAUGUGUAAGUAACUAUGCACGUCUUGACGGUACCUAAUCAGAAAGCCACGGCGAACUACGU